UGAGCAAUCUGCCCUUCUCUUCGGAAUAAGCGUUGGAAACGACGUCUAAUGCCGAAUACGACCUCCUUUCGCAUGAUCGGAGGUGGAAAGCUCCGGCGGAGAAGGAUGAGCUCGCGGCCUAUCAGCUAGUUGGUGAGGUCAUGGCUCACCAAGGCGACGACGGGUAGCUGGUCCGAGAGGAUGACCAGCCACAUUGGGACUGAGACACGGCCCAGAUCCCGUAACGGGG
This 229-nucleotide ribosomal RNA is filed under the name uncultured bacterium. RNAcentral's name for it is "partial 16S ribosomal RNA". It matches the Rfam family "Bacterial small subunit ribosomal RNA", at positions 118 to 346 of the family's 1533-position model. The record is from RNAcentral.